Molecule: ribosomal RNA, 803 nt
Filed under: uncultured Microcoleus sp.
Lineage: Bacteria; Bacillati; Cyanobacteriota; Cyanophyceae; Oscillatoriales; Microcoleaceae
Description: bacterial SSU rRNA
Rfam family: Bacterial small subunit ribosomal RNA
Source: RNAcentral
GAUGAACGCUGGCGGUCUGCUUAACACAUGCAAGUCGAACGCACCCUUUCGGGGGUGAGUGGCGGACGGGUGAGUAACGCGUGAGAAUCUAGCUUUUAGAUGGGGACAACCACUGGAAACGGUGGCUAAUACCCAAUGUGCCAUUAGGUGAAAGAUUAAUUGCCAGAAGAAGAGCUCGCGUCUGAUUAGCUAGUUGGUGAGGUAAAGGCUCACCAAGGCAGCGAUCAGUAGCUGGUCUGAGAGGAUGAUCAGCCACACUGGGACUGAGACACGGCCCAGACUCCUACGGGAGGCAGCAGUGAGGAAUUUUCCGCAAUGGGCGAAAGCCUGACGGAGCAAUACCGCGUGAGGGAGGAAGGCUCUUGGGUCGUAAACCUCUUUUCUCAGGGAAGAAGAAAGUGACGGUACCUGAGGAAUCAGCCUCGGCUAACUCCGUGCCAGCAGCCGCGGUAAUACGGAGGAGGCAAGCGUUAUCCGGAAUUAUUGGGCGUAAAGCGUCCGUAGGUGGCUCUUCAAGUCUGCUGUCAAAGAGUGGGGCUUAACUCCAGAAAGGCAGUGGAAACUGAAAGGCUAGAGAGCCGUAGGGGUAGAGGGAAUUCCCGGUGUAGCGGUGAAAUGCGUAGAGAUCGGGAAGAACAUCGGUGGCGAAAGCGCUCUACUGGACGGUAUCUGACACUGAGGGACGAAAGCUAGGGGAGCGAAUGGGAUUAGAUACCCCUGUAGUCCUAGCCGUAAACGAUGGAUACUAGGCGUGGCUUGUAUCGACCCGAGCCGUGCCGGAGCUAACGCGUUAAGUAUCCCGC